UUGAUUCUGGCUCAGGAUGAACGCUAGCGACAGGCUUAACACAUGCAAGUCGAGGGGCAGCACAGGUAGCAAUACCGGGUGGCGACCGGCGCACGGGUGAGUAACGCGUAUGCAACUUACCUAUCAGAGGGGGAUAACCCGGCGAAAGUCGGACUAAUACCGCAUGAAGCAGGGGCCCCGCAUGGGGAUUUUGCUAAAGAUUCAUCGCUGAUAGAUAGGCAUGCGUUCCAUUAGGCAGUUGGCGGGGUAACGGCCCACCAAACCGACGAUGGAUAGGGGUUCUGAGAGGAAGGUCCCCCACAUUGGUACUGAGACACGGACCAAACUCCUACGGGAGGCAGCAGUGAGGAAUAUUGGUCAAUGGGCGUAAGCCUGAACCAGCCAAGUCGCGUGAGGGAUGAAGGUUCUAUGGAUCGUAAACCUCUUUUAUAAGGGAAUAAAGUGCGGGACGUGUCCCGUUUUGUAUGUACCUUAUGAAUAAGGAUCGGCUAACUCCGUGCCAGCAGCCGCGGUAAUACGGAGGAUCCGAGCGUUAUCCGGAUUUAUUGGGUUUAAAGGGUGCGUAGGCGGCCUUUUAAGUCAGCGGUGAAAGUCUGUGGCUCAACCAUAGAAUUGCCGUUGAAACUGGGGGGCUUGAGUAUGUUUGAGGCAGGCGGAAUGCGUGGUGUAGCGGUGAAAUGCUUAGAUAUCACGCAGAACCCCGAUUGCGAAGGCAGCCUGCCAAGCCAUGACUGACGCUGAUGCACGAAAGCGUGGGGAUCAAACAGGAUUAGAUACCCUGGUAGUCCACGCAGUAAACGAUGAUCACUAGCUGUUUGCGAUACAGUGUAAGCGGCACAGCGAAAGCGUUAAGUGAUCCACCUGGGGAGUACGCCGGCAACGGUGAAACUCAAAGGAAUUGACGGGGGCCCGCACAAGCGGAGGAACAUGUGGUUUAAUUCGAUGAUACGCGAGGAACCUUACCCGGGUUUGAACGCAUUCGGACCGAGGUGGAAACACCUUUUCUAGCAAUAGCCGUUUGCGAGGUGCUGCAUGGUUGUCGUCAGCUCGUGCCGUGAGGUGUCGGCUUAAGUGCCAUAACGAGCGCAACCCUUGCCACUAGUUACUAACAGGUGAUGCUGAGGACUCUGGUGGGACUGCCAGCGUAAGCUGCGAGGAAGGCGGGGAUGACGUCAAAUCAGCACGGCCCUUACAUCCGGGGCGACACACGUGUUACAAUGGCGUGGACAAAGGGAAGCCACCUGGCGACAGGGAGCGAAUCCCCAAACCACGUCUCAGUUCGGAUCGGAGUCUGCAACCCGACUCCGUGAAGCUGGAUUCGCUAGUAAUCGCGCAUCAGCCAUGGCGCGGUGAAUACGUUCCCGGGCCUUGUACACACCGCCCGUCAAGCCAUGGGAGCCGGGGGUACCUGAAGUCCGUAACCGAAAGGAUCGGCCUAGGGUAAAACUGGUGACUGGGGCUAAGUCGUAACAAGGU
RNAcentral lists this ribosomal RNA (1476 nucleotides) under uncultured bacterium. RNAcentral describes it as "bacterial SSU rRNA". It matches the Rfam family "Bacterial small subunit ribosomal RNA". The record is from RNAcentral.